GCCGGCCGAGAGGAUCAGGGCCUCUGCCGCGCAGGACUGCAUGUUGCCCUGGGUGUCGCAGGCGCACACACGGAUGUAUUCAUAGCUAAAAUGAACUUCAAAAUCCCCUGAGACAGUGUCCUGC
This is a long non-coding RNA of Lemur catta (Ring-tailed lemur), 124 nucleotides long. RefSeq lists it as uncharacterized. NCBI's taxonomy places the organism in Eukaryota, Metazoa, Chordata, Mammalia, Primates, Lemuridae. The record is from RefSeq and is a predicted model, not a curated record. The transcript is spliced from 3 exons.